UGCAAAUGUUAUCACAAAAUUAAUAAAAAUCAUGUAUUCUGUAAACAUUUUUCAUAACUUGAAUUAUAACUUGUUUUGAAUAUCCAAUUAAUAUAUUUUCAAGUGAUAACGAUAAUACCUAGUUGUUGUCUUGUUAUUAAAGGCUAGGUACUAAAAAAUUAGAUAACACUUCGAUGGGUCAUAGCAAUAAAAUAGUUAUACUUAAUUUAUCUUUAAAUUGUUAUUCAAUCUUGCAAAUGACUUUAAUUUCACCUGUAGAAUGUGAACAAAGUACCUACUGCCUACUAUUUAAUAACGCUAGCCACUCACCAUCCAAUAAACCACGUGCCUGGAGCGCUUGUUGGUCACGAUCUGCAUGACGUCAUGCACAUCGCGACCAAUACACGAUCAGUUUUAACCGGAUGUCAAGUCGCUAGCGCUGCAGGCAUGUGGAGUUAUUGGAUGUUGAGUGGCUAGCAUAACGUUUGAUUUUGAUUUCAGUUAAUGUUAAAUGACAAUCUCAACACUUUCAUUACCGCUACGAUUUUCACGAUGUUUUCUCGGGAGCCGCCUACAUUUUACGUUGGACUCGCUAGGUGAGUCGACGGCGCUGCGAUACGAAUCAUUCGACUCGCCACGCGAGUUCAGUGGCAUUGCGUUAGGGUAAAAACUAUGUUCUGUUAUUUUUGUGGCCGUGACAGUGUACGUUACGUGUUUAAAGCAAUUAACUAGUAUAUGGUGUAAUUUAACAAAAAGAAAAUGGCAAGAAACACUAUAAAUAAACGAAAAGGCCACCACAAAACACAAUAACAUAGAACACAAGAAUCUCAAAGUCCAGAAAACGUUUGCCAGGGGUUAAAACAGUAGGUACUCCAACAGGUCCAGUAAUCGAAAGCCAAGUCACAAUGAUAGAAAACAAAUAUACGCGUGCGAUAAGGAAAGGGUCGUGCUUAACACUAAUCUAUAUAUAAAGAAAGUCGGGUUUGUUACAACACUUCACUCGAGAUUGACCAAUGAGAGCUUGGCAAAAACAAUGUUAUCAGUGCUUUUAUUGCUUACUAACCAGAGCGUUCAUGUUAAAAAAUACCGGUUCCUUUUGUUUUGCCGGCAAUUUUUAACAAUGCGAAGGGAUCCUCUUUCAGUUGUAACUCUUAAAGUAAUAGACCGAGAGUUGAGUUUGUGUUUUCUGCACCGUUCGUUUAACAAAAACGCAAGGACAGACUCAAAAACUUAGAAGUACCCAUUUGGUGAACACCAAAUUCGAGCCCCUACAAGGUGUCGAACACAAUCCGCCGUUGUUUUACGAGUGAAUGUGACUUUUGGUAAAAUGAAAAUAAAAGUAUCUACCUUUUA
Long non-coding RNA from Bicyclus anynana (squinting bush brown), 1332 nucleotides. RefSeq lists it as uncharacterized. NCBI's taxonomy places the organism in Eukaryota, Metazoa, Arthropoda, Insecta, Lepidoptera, Nymphalidae. The transcript has 2 exons. The record is from RefSeq and is a predicted model, not a curated record.